GGGCACUGAGCAUUGGUAGGGGUGGGGGUGCAGAGUCGGGGGUGCGGGAGCCAGCAGGGUGGCCAGGAGGAGGGGGUGAUGAGAAGGCUCCCCUCCUACCCUGGGCCAACUUUCUCAGGGUCCAGGAAGCCCGAGGGAAUUCUGAACUUUCCCUGCAGGAGUGUAGUGCCCAGACUGGGAGAGAUGUGCCUCUGUGGGCAUCUUGAAGGGAAAUGAGAAGCGGAGCUGCCCCUGCACCUGCGCUGGGAGCUGCCUGCCUCCUGCUUGUCCUGGCCAUGUGCGAACCUCAGCGUGGAAGAGGGACUCUCGCACUGCUCCCUGCGCGGCUCAGCUGGCCUCCUGGGAAGCCACAAGAAACUAAUCCAUGGGGAUGGCCAGGCCUGAUUAGCUGGGGUGGGGCUGGAGGCUCCUCUACAGAGAUGAUGCUUACACUGAGACCUGAAGGAGAAGGAGGAGGUGGCUGCUCACGCAACCCACAGGAAAGUGUUCCAGGAUCAAGAACAGCAGGUGCAAAGGCCCCGUGAUGGAAAGGAUUGGUGCACUAGGAGAACAAAGUGGGUGGCUGCAGGGCAGGAGGGGAGGGUGCAUGUGCAGGCUGGGCAGGAGGGUAGGGCCUUGAGGCACCCUACAGGCCCCUGUAAGUCCAGGCACAGAGCUGCUGCCUUGAGCCCUGAGGUCUGGACAUUCCAGUUUCCCAUCUUUCCAAUGUGGGACUCUCUGCCUUUUCCAAUUCCCCACUUCCCUGAUGCCAGAUACUGCCUGACUGUGUCCAUCUCUCCCCCGUCCCCUGGGCCACCUCCCUGCUGAGACCCCUCACUGGUGCCUCCCAGGUGCAUUCUCCUCGCUGCCCCCAGCAGAGUCCUUCCCACACACCCAGCUCCUCGGUGUGGUGCCUGCCCGUGGGUGGGUGGUGCACCCCACUGGCAUCCCUCCUCUGCCCUGUCCACCUCAACUUCCAGGGCAGCCUGGACACCAGGUUUG
RNAcentral lists this long non-coding RNA (981 nucleotides) under Homo sapiens (human). RNAcentral's name for it is "non-protein coding MRGPRF-AS1:6". Lineage: Eukaryota; Metazoa; Chordata; Mammalia; Primates; Hominidae. The record is from RNAcentral.